Molecule: long non-coding RNA, 1224 nt
Organism: Sarcophilus harrisii (Tasmanian devil)
Lineage: Eukaryota; Metazoa; Chordata; Mammalia; Dasyuromorphia; Dasyuridae
Exons: 3
Source: RefSeq, a predicted model, not a curated record
AUAAGGGCCUCUCAGUAGAGAGGUGAGAAUAGCAACUGCCUCUCAGUGUCCUUGUGUCAUCAUUGUGCUCUCACGUGAAGAGCUCCAUUCUACAGGUCUGAAUUAGACCUCCAGCAGCCACUGGCAGGUGGCUCCCUUGGCACAGCAAAGGCCCAUCAGCUGCCCUCAGUCUGCUUCAGUCUGUCUGCCAAGACUGUUUUACCAGGAUGUGACCGCUCUGAAAACUUCAGCUUCCUGGAACUACGGUGGCAUUUGGCACAGGUUGCUCCCAGAGAGGUCCUGAAGAGACAAGACAGUACGUGAAUUCCUCUCAAACACCCCAUGGCCCCCGGUCUCCCCAACAGCCUCGGAGGAAAUCUCUCUGCAAGAAGCUUGCAUCCAGGCAUUUCCACAAAUGCACAGAUUCCCUUUAUCUGGCCCUUCAGUACCCCCGUGAUGGUAUGAGUUGGCAGAAGUCAAAGCUUUAAGGGUGGAUUCUAAGAUGGAGCUGAAUACGAAUGACCCCUGGACAAGAGCUCCCCACGUGGAGCUGAUGUGGAAACUUGCAGAAGAAAUUCAAGAUGAAGAUGUGGAUUCCAAUCCUGCCUUCACUCCAAGAUCACUGUAUGACCUGUUGCUUCCCCUUUCUAAAUCCCCAAACCAUAAAUGGAGGGAACUUUGGGGAAACUGAGUCAGGACACACCGUCCACCCCCACCCGGACAAGCGGAAGGGGGCUCGGCAUUCAGCAUCGGCCCUAAGUCCCCAAAUGGAACUCAUUAGCUUCCAAGGUGCCUCAUGUUCCCCCUUCGGACAGCUUGCGUGAUGAGAAGGGACAGUCCCCAUCCCUGCCACUUCUGGUCUAAAUCUGAUGCAUGAUGUCUUCUAGUUCUGUUCUCUGGAGCCUAACAAGGCAAAGCCUCAGUUUCCCUAUCUACAUAAUCAGAAUAAUAACCCUACUCACCUCUCUCACAAUUAUUUCUGGGGAUCUAAUGAGAAAAUGGUUGGGAGGAAAAACACUUUGCAAAGAGACAUAAAAGGAAACAAUAGCUUCUCUUCUACCCUGCGAGACCAUGACCCCACAGUCAUAACCAAGAGAGCCCUUGUUCCAUGACCCCAGAUUCCUUGUAAUUCUGACAUUGCUCUGAAUGCUUUUCUUUCUGGCCCUUAGGCCUUUCUUAAGAUUAGCUAGGGAUCUGUGUAGCAUCAAGGUGUGAUCUUUCCAGGGGGAUUUUCUUUUCUUUUUU